AUACGGAGGGUGCGAGCGUUACUCGGAGUCACUGGGCGUAAAGCGUCCGUAGGCGGUCGGGUAAGUCGGGUGUGAAAGCCCCGGGCUCAACCUGGGAAGUGCACCCGAUACUGCUCGACUCGAGUGCGAGAGAGGAUGGCGGAAUUCCCGGUGUAGCGGUGAAAUGCGUAGAGAUCGGGAGGAACACCAGUGGCGAAGGCGGCCAUCUGGCCCGCAACUGACGCUGAGGGACGAAAGCGUGGGGAGCAAACAGAAUUAGAAACCCUAGUAGUCC
Molecule: ribosomal RNA, 274 nt
Filed under: uncultured bacterium
Lineage: Bacteria
Description: partial 16S ribosomal RNA
Rfam family: Bacterial small subunit ribosomal RNA
Source: RNAcentral